This 1371-nucleotide ribosomal RNA is filed under the name uncultured bacterium. RNAcentral describes it as "bacterial SSU rRNA". It matches the Rfam family "Bacterial small subunit ribosomal RNA", at positions 28 to 1381 of the family's 1533-position model. The record is from RNAcentral.
GAUGAACGCUGGCGGCGUGCCUAAUACAUGCAAGUCGAGCGAACGGACGAGAAGCUUGCUUCUCUGAUGUUAGCGGCGGACGGGUGAGUAACACGUGGAUAACCUACCUAUAAGACUGGGAUAACUUCGGGAAACCGGAGCUAAUACCGGAUAAUAUUUUGAACCGCAUGGUUCAAAAGUGAAAGACGGUCUUGCUGUCACUUAUAGAUGGAUCCGCGCUGCAUUAGCUAGUUGGUAAGGUAACGGCUUACCAAGGCAACGAUGCAUAGCCGACCUGAGAGGGUGAUCGGCCACACUGGAACUGAGACACGGUCCAGACUCCUACGGGAGGCAGCAGUAGGGAAUCUUCCGCAAUGGGCGAAAGCCUGACGGAGCAACGCCGCGUGAGUGAUGAAGGUCUUCGGAUCGUAAAACUCUGUUAUUAGGGAAGAACAUAUGUGUAAGUAACUGUGCACAUCUUGACGGUACCUAAUCAGAAAGCCACGGCUAACUACGUGCCAGCAGCCGCGGGUAUACGUAGGUGGCAAGCGUUAUCCGGGAAUUAUGGGCGGUAAGCGCGCGUAGGCGGUUUUUUAGUCUGAUGUGAAAGCCCACGGCUCCCUUGUGGAGGGUCAUUGGAAACUGGAAAACUUGAGUGCAGAACAUGAAAGUGGAAUUCCAUGUGUAGCGGUGAAAUGCGCAGAGAUAUGGAGGAACACCAGUGGCGAAGGCGACUUUCUGGUCUGUAACUGACGCUGAUGUGCGAAAGCGUGGGGAUCAAACAGGAUUAGAUACCCUGGUAGUCCACGCCGUAAACGAUGAGUGCUAAGUGUUAGGGGGUUUCCGCCCCUUAGUGCUGCAGCUAACGCAUUAAGCACUCCGCCUGGGGAGUACGACCGCAAGGUUGAAACUCAAAGGAAUUGACGGGGACCCGCACAAGCGGUGGAGCAUGUGGUUUAAUUCGAAGCAACGCGAAGAACCUUACCAAAUCUUGACAUCCUUUGACAACUCUAGAGAUAGAGCCUUCCCCUUCGGGGGACAAAGUGACAGGUGGUGCAUGGUUGUCGUCAGCUCGUGUCGUGAGAUGUUGGGUUAAGUCCCGCAACGAGCGCAACCCUUAAGCUUAGUUGCCAUCAUUAAGUUGGGCACUCUAAGUUGACUGCCGGUGACAAACCGGAGGAAGGUGGGGAUGACGUCAAAUCAUCAUGCCCCUUAUGAUUUGGGCUACACACGUGCUACAAUGGACAAUACAAAGGGCAGCGAAACCGCGAGGUCAAGCAAAUCCCAUAAAGUUGUUCUCAGUUCGGAUUGUAGUCUGCAACUCGACUACAUGAAGCUGGAAUCGCUAGUAAUCGUAGAUCAGCAUGCUACGGUGAAUACGUUCCCGGGUCU